Molecule: long non-coding RNA, 1401 nt
Organism: Ricinus communis (castor bean)
Lineage: Eukaryota; Viridiplantae; Streptophyta; Magnoliopsida; Malpighiales; Euphorbiaceae
Exons: 3
Source: RefSeq, a predicted model, not a curated record
GGUAGGCACUUCUGAUCAAUGGUUUCUAUUGAUUUUAUCUGGACCAAUAUAAGGAGAUGCUGGUUAUAUUUUUGGUUCUUGAUGUUGCAGCUAUAUCAUCCAAGUGAUAUUAUUAUGGAUGGUGAUGAUGGGAUUCUAUUCUGGUUUUCCAUGAAACUCUUGGUGUUGGUGCUGGAGUGCUGGGGAAUAAAAUUUAAUUUUUAUUCUUGUCUUUAUCUCUUUCCUGAUCUUAAUGGAGUGGUAGGAUAUUGAUAUUGGAAACUACUUUCUCGCUAAACAGAUUUUAUUUUGGUUCUCGUUUCAUGGAUUGAUUACUUAUAGUACUUAUGUGAAUGGGGAGUAGAUGCAAGGAGGCCUAUUCCGUGCCGGGAUGAACCUGCUCUUAAGGUCUUAAAACCAAGAAUUUCCUCUUCUAAUUAUAAACAAUCAACUAUGCUAAAAAAGACAGAAUAUGAGAAUUGAACUUAAUUGAGCUUGUUACACUUCUUUUCAACAGGCGACCUUCAGAAUAACUAAAGAUGUUCCAUUAGAGUUGGCAGCAUUAUCCAACAUGCCAAUUGUUGAUUUCGUAUGACAGGAAUGUUAAGACUGUUUGUUUUCAGGAAUCUCCUCUCAUGUCAAGUUAUUUGGUGGCUGUUGUUAUUGGUGUAUUCACUCAUUUUGAGGAUAGAAAAGCUGAUGUAUAGACCUGUGUUCUUAUGUAUUAAUAGAUCACCUUGUUAUCUCCAAAGAGGAACGUUAUUUUCUCUGUUUACUUUUUCAACGGCUAAUGCAGGGAUUAAGGUUCGUGUAUACCCACUGAACCCCUUGCCCAUUCAGUGGGUGAAACUUUCGAUGUUAUCCGGAGGUUGCAGGGCUAGCUUAGGGAUGACAUACUCUAGAAUCCUUGAGUUAUGCUCGGGGAAAUGCAAAGACAGAAGAGUUGUGGAGCAUUAUUUCAGAGGAAUCUGGUGUUCAAGUAAUCUCAAUGAUGAACAGUUGGACAAAGCAAAAAGGAUAUCCAGUCAUCUCUGUGAGGUCUGAAGAUGAAAUUGUUGGAAUUUGAACAGAUGGAUUAUUCCAAUGACCUUGCUCCUUGGAUCUAGCAACAAGAGCUAGAAUUCCCUUUUGCAGUCAAAAGUUGAAAGGGUGGACAUAUCUGAUUGUGUUUCAUCUCCUGAUGGCAAUUCAAGCUCAUCAAAUGAACAUAAAGAAGAGAAAGGUGACGGAAAAUUCAUGGAUCAAAGAUAACAUUAUCUAGCGGGGGCUUCUGUAGAGUAAAGUAUGAACAAAAACUGUCAGCUGACUGAGGAAAGCUGUAGAGUACAAUUUGCUUUCAGCAGCAUGUAAAUUUGGUAUAUAUUCAUUGUUGAACCUAACUAUGCAUAAAACGGGAUGUUGCCAGGUUAGACUUACUUGACA